CGGCGGGUGCAAGCGUUAAUCGGAAUUACUGGGCGUAAAGCGCACGCAGGCGGUUUGUUAAGUCAGAUGUGAAGCCCCGGGCUCAACAUGGGAACUGCAUUUGAAACUGGCAAGCUAGAGUCUCGUAGAGGGGGGUAGAAUUCCAGGUGUAGCGGUGAAAUGCGUAGAGAUCUGGAGGAAUACCGGUGGCGAAGGCGGCCCCCUGGACGAAGACUGACGCUCAGAUGCGAAAGCGUGGGGAGCCCCCCUUUUAAUAUCCUUUUCCCCCCCGCUUACCCCCCCCCCAAACCCC
This 292-nucleotide ribosomal RNA is filed under the name Serratia marcescens. Its description in RNAcentral is "partial 16S ribosomal RNA". It matches the Rfam family "Bacterial small subunit ribosomal RNA", at positions 526 to 796 of the family's 1533-position model. The record is from RNAcentral. Lineage: Bacteria; Pseudomonadati; Pseudomonadota; Gammaproteobacteria; Enterobacterales; Yersiniaceae.